UGCGUAAACUGGCAAGGUUAAAGAUUUUAGAUCUGGAGCCGAAGAGAAAUCAAGUUUUAACAGAGCGGUGAAAGUCAGUCCACGCAGACCCGAAACCGGGUGAUCUAUCCAUGUCCAGGAUGAAGUUGCCGUAAAAGGCAGUGGAGGUCCGAACGCACAUCCGUUGAAAAGGGUGGCGAUGAGGUGUGGAUAGGGGAGAAAUUCCAAUCGAACCCGGAGAUAGCUGG
Molecule: non-coding RNA, 227 nt
Filed under: Lachnospiraceae bacterium A4
Lineage: Bacteria; Bacillati; Bacillota; Clostridia; Lachnospirales; Lachnospiraceae
Description: Bacterial large subunit ribosomal RNA
Rfam family: Bacterial large subunit ribosomal RNA
Source: Rfam by way of RNAcentral